This 2182-nucleotide long non-coding RNA is filed under the name Marmota monax (woodchuck). Lineage: Eukaryota; Metazoa; Chordata; Mammalia; Rodentia; Sciuridae. The record is from RNAcentral.
UAUUAACCUUCAUUUCUGUGUAAUUUAUUAUAAUUUAUAAUUAUUGCUCAAAGUAUCUAGUCAGAAAAUGAUAUGACUAUAGGCAUACAGUCAUGGUUUAUUUAACUAGGAAAUGCAUAUAAAAAGAUUGCCAUGGGUGAGGGGAUGUGAUGGAGAUUUGAACUGAAAAAGUGACACGUUUUGAUAAUGAAAAGUGCUUUUUUGGUAAUUGUAAUUCCAGAGAUUAUUGAUUUCUUUAAUAGUAGGUAAGUUUCCAUAAGUUUGACUGUACUAACCUACAAAUUCUCACUUGGCAUCCUUUUGGGGUAUUUUAACUUCAAAGGAUAUGUUAUGUACUGAGGAGUGGCCACUGGGGCGCAAUAUGGCUCUUGACAUUUUGAACGGUGUUAAAUGAUGGAUGAAAGUAUUUCAAAUAGCCACGUUUCAGCAUUGGUUAAAAAAUCCAGUGGGAAGAAUGGUGGUCCAUAUAACCCUGCAUACUUGAGAUUCUUUGGGUAUUAAUUUUGAAUGCAUUUCACAAGUUUAUUUCUUACAAAACAUAUUUAGAAUAAAUAAGACAAGUAAAAUUUUUACAGUUGUGUCUUAUGAAAUUUUAUUUUAUUUUUCAAUUGCUUUGAAGUAUUCUGUGAAGAAGUGGAAAGGAGUCAAACCAUGAUAUCAGUUUUUUUUUUCCCCCCAUGGUAUCAGUUUGAUUAUCUGUUUAUGUUAAUAAGGAUGUUGUUAGAGAGCAUAUUGUUAUGGAGCUUCUGUUGUAAACCCAAGAUUCUAAAACCAGUGUUUUAAGAGAGGCAGAUAAGUGAAAACACUUUGAGAAAAGUAAACAUCUUGUUUUUGUUAAUUUCCAAUUUGUUCCACAGUGAAAACAUGUCUACCCUGCUGUCUUUGUCUGUUAGUGGUGUUUCUUGGAUUAAAUAUGAGAGUCAAUAGUUAAGCCCUUUAGGAAGGCACCUCCUGAGGGAACAGGGACUUACUGGAUGUCUGUGCAUGUUGAAGUGACAGCCCUGUAUAUUGUGUCCUCUGCAGGGGGUGCUGUAGGUGGUAGCCAUAGAGAUCACAUUCACAGGCCUGGCUGCCUUCCUCAUUGUGGGGAAGAUGUUUGUCAUUGCAGAGACAUCUGGGAGAGGAGGUUCUCAAGGUGGUAUUGGCAGCUGUAGUGAACCUGUACUGGUUCCUUUGGGACAUUUCUCAUUGUUUCCUACACUGUCUUUUGGCUACUCCUAUCUUCCUGUUUUCAGGCUCUUAAACGUAUAACUGUUUAGUCUGCUACUGUUGCUGCUGCUAGGUUUUGCUUUUGUACUGGGGCUUGAACCCAGGGCCACAACACUGAGCUACAUCUCUAGUUUUAAAAACAUUUUUUUUUUUUUUAAAUAGGGUCUCCCUAAGUUGCUCAGGCUGGCCUUGAACUUGUGAUCCUCCUGCCUCAGCCUCCUGAGUGGCUGGUUUAUAGGGGUGCACCCAUGUGCCCCUUGGCCUGCUGCUUUUAAUAUCUUGAGGUAGAAUAUUUGUGUCCAAGUCUGUUUUUUCAAGUAUGUUCCCUUUAAAACAGGUUGCUUUUCUCCUCCCACAAAUAAUUAACUACAGGACUAGUCUCCCAAAGCAAUUGAAAAGAGAUCAUUUUGACAAAGCAAGCUUCUAAUGACAAGUAUUCCAACUAAAAAUAUAUAGAAGAAAAGUUUUCAGGUGAUGAAGAAGUUUAAUCAGGCAAAAAAGACAUUUUUAUUUGCAGAAAUUGGCCCUUUAGAGGGAAGCAAUUAUUUAUAGCUGAUUUGAAAAACUGGUAUACCUGAAUUCAUCUGGUAAACUGCAUUUAAAAUAGGAAGAUUAUUCUUGUUAUACUAUUGAAGGCAAAAAAAAAAAAAAAAAAAACUUGUACUGAAUUGUGUCACUGAAUGUAUAUUAAUGAAGCAUGGUUUUCUAGUUUAACUCUUCUAGGGAAACAUACUGCUUUACUCAAAGAAAGUGAAUUUGGGAUUUGAAUAAAAAGUCUAUAAAGAUGUCAAUGUGCUGAAAUUGCCAACUAUAGUUAAAAUAUCUUAUUAAAUGUGAUUGCUUUAGGAUUGUGUCCUUCCGCCUCUGUUUGAAUCUUUCUUUUUUUUCCUUUUCAAAACAGUGUUUCUUGAUUUUGUUCUAUAUCAAAGAGAAGGUUCACUGUUUUAAAGCCUCUCACAUGUCACCAACAUGA